UAAAUGUUUCAUGUUUUUUUAGUGUCUAACUGGGAGAUAAACAAUGUAUGACUUUCAGCAUUUGGCUUCUCUACAUAAGUGCAAUAGGCCUCUACAAUAUCAUCCAUUGGGACCACCAUGUCUAUCGAGCCCUCUCACCAUACUACAUGAUGCACGUUUUGUUUAUAGCCUUCAGUGUUUAUUUUCUGAUCCCUAGUUAGUCCAAUUCUACUAAUUCCUACUUUCAUGGCUCUACAGCAGCAACAACCGAUCGCCAGCUCCUCUCCUCGUGCCUCCGCGCCGCUGCUCCUGCCGUUUAGACCAAUUUUUUCGCUGGCAAUAUAGUUGUAUGGAUGGUUGAUGCGUGGCGGAGGUGGAGGCGGUUGUGGGGAAGCCCGUGGGAAGAAUCUUCCCUGGUUUUGGAAGAGAUCUGGAGAAUUAGUUACAAAGUUUGGUUUGAAUGCUGAGAAUGAGAUAAUACACACCCUUGCAUUUUUAGCUGGUGCCAUGGUUUGGUCAUAGGUACUAAUGAGAUCUAAUGAGAUAACCACCGUCUUGGUUUUGUAUAUUGUUAGCUGUGAUCUAAUGAGAUUAAUAUUUUUCAGAAAUGAAGAAAUACCCGUUUUGAGCUAUAUAAUUUUGAAUUUCAAUGGGAUUUCGCAAAACUAAAAACUAGGUUGUGCUUCCUUUAAUUUAAACUACAUACUUGAUUAUCCAUAUUUUCAUAUGAUUUGUUUGUGCUUUGACACUAUUAUGUAAAUAAAUUAACCUCAAAAAAUAUAUUUGCUAAGAUCAACAUCAUUUUACCUA
Molecule: long non-coding RNA, 789 nt
Organism: Panicum virgatum (switchgrass)
Lineage: Eukaryota; Viridiplantae; Streptophyta; Magnoliopsida; Poales; Poaceae
Exons: 3
Source: RefSeq, a predicted model, not a curated record